AAGCGGUGGAGCAUGUGGCUUAAUUCGAGGCUACGCGAAGAACCUUAUCCUGGACUUGACAUGUGCGAAAGCGUCAGGUGGUAGAAGCCGGAAACGGUGACGAAUCCCGCAAGGGAGAGCCUGAUACAGGUGCUGCAUGGCUGUCGUCAGCUCGUGUCGUGAGAUGUCGGGUUAAGUCCCAUAACGAGCGAAACCCUUACCCUUAGUUGCAACCCAAAAGGGCACUCUAGGGGGACUGCCGGUGUUAAACCGGAGGAAGGUGGGGAUG
RNAcentral lists this ribosomal RNA (268 nucleotides) under uncultured Planctomycetota bacterium. Its description in RNAcentral is "uncultured planctomycete partial 16S ribosomal RNA". It matches the Rfam family "Bacterial small subunit ribosomal RNA", at positions 927 to 1181 of the family's 1533-position model. The record is from RNAcentral. Lineage: Bacteria; Pseudomonadati; Planctomycetota.